Molecule: ribosomal RNA, 253 nt
Filed under: uncultured bacterium
Lineage: Bacteria
Description: partial 16S ribosomal RNA
Rfam family: Bacterial small subunit ribosomal RNA
Source: RNAcentral
UACAGAGGUGGCGAGCGUUGUUCGGAAUCAUUGGGCGUAAAGGGUGCGUAGGUGGUGAGGUAAGUUCGAUGUGAAAUCUCCGGGCUCAACCCGGAAAAGGCAUUGAAUACUAUCUUGCUCGAGUAAGGGAGAGGAAAGUGGAAUUCCUGGUGUAGAGGUGAAAUUCGUAGAUAUCAGGAGGAACACCGGUGGCGAAGGCGACUUACUGGACUGUAACUGACGCUGAGUCACGAAAGCGUGGGUAGCAAACAGG